This is a non-coding RNA of Rattus norvegicus (Norway rat), 69 nucleotides long. The record is from Rfam. Lineage: Eukaryota; Metazoa; Chordata; Mammalia; Rodentia; Muridae.
GGGGAUUUGGCUCAGUGGUAGAGCGCUUGCCUAGGAAGCACAAGGUCCUGGGUUCAGUCCCCAGCCCCG